This 422-nucleotide ribosomal RNA is filed under the name uncultured bacterium. RNAcentral describes it as "bacterial SSU rRNA". It matches the Rfam family "Bacterial small subunit ribosomal RNA", at positions 495 to 920 of the family's 1533-position model. The record is from RNAcentral.
GGCUAACUACGUGCCAGCAGCCGCGGUAAUACGUAGGGUGCGAGCGUUAAUCGGAAUUACUGGGGCGUAAAGGGUGCGCAGGCGGUUCUGUAAGUCAGAUGUGAAUCCCGGCUUAACCUGGGAACUGCGUUUGAAACUACAGAGCUAGAGUGUGGCAGAGGGGGUGGAAUUCCAUGUGUAGCAGUGAAAUGCGUAGAGAUAUGGAAGAACAUCGAUGGCGAAGGCAGCCCCCUGGGUCAACACUGACGCUCAUGCACGAAAGCGUGGGGAGCAAACAGGAUUAGAUACCCUGGUAGUCCACGCCCUAAACUAUGUCAACUAGUUGUCGGGCCUUAUUAGGUUUGGUAACGUAGCUAACGCGUGAAGUUGACCGCCUGGGGAGUACGGUCGCAAGAUUAAAACUCAAAGGAAUUGACGGGGAC